CCUACGGGAGGCAGCAGUGCGGAAUAUUGGUCAAUGGACGAGAGUCUGCACCAGCCAAGUAGCGUGAAGGAUGACUGCCCUAUGGGUUGUAAACUUCUUUUAUCUGUGAAUAAAAUGUUCCACGUGUGGGAUUUUGUCUGUACCAUAUGAAUAAGGAUCGGCUAACUCCGUUCCAGCAGCCGCGGUAAUACGGAGGCUCCGAGCGUUAUCCGGAUUUAUUGGGUUUAAAGGGAGCGUAGGUGGAUAGUUAAGUCAGUUGUGAAAGUUUGCGGCUCAACCGGAAAAUUGCAGUUGAAACUGGCAGUCUGGAGUACAGUAGAGGUGGGCGGAAUUCGUGGUGUAGCGGUGAAAUGCUUAGAUAUCACGAAGAACUCCGAUUGCGAAGGCAGUUCACUGGACUGCAACUGACACUGAGGCUCGAAAGUGUGGGUAGCAAACAGGAUUAGAUACCCUAGUAGUC
Molecule: ribosomal RNA, 460 nt
Filed under: uncultured bacterium
Lineage: Bacteria
Description: partial 16S ribosomal RNA
Rfam family: Bacterial small subunit ribosomal RNA
Source: RNAcentral